GUCACCAUGGUCUAAUGGUUAGGACACUAGCCUUUCACGCUGGCAAUACGGGUUCGAAUCCCGUUGGUGAUACCA
RNAcentral lists this transfer RNA (75 nucleotides) under Clostridia bacterium. RNAcentral describes it as "tRNA-Glu". It matches the Rfam family "tRNA". From Rfam's summary of the family: Transfer RNA (tRNA) molecules are approximately 80 nucleotides in length. Lineage: Bacteria; Bacillati; Bacillota; Clostridia. The record is from RNAcentral.